UUUUUUUUAAGUGGGCUUUAGAAUUUUUGAAAGAUUUUUGAAUUUUGGCUUUCAAUUAAUCUGCAGUCCUACGGGCAUUAAUUAUAAAUAUAAAAUGAAUGUACAUUUAAUAGAUAGGUCAGGACACAGUUUGAACAUUUUAACCAUGAGGUUUUUAGAUUGCUGCAGUCUAGACCUGAUUAGAGAUUAAAAAAAAAAAAAAAAGAAACAUGGAAACAUGCACAAAUAAGAUUAAAUGACUAAAUCCCAUCAUGGUGGUAGAUUAACUGCCCCAGGUGUUCCUUAUGAUGUGCCAUGAUGCUUAAUGAGUUCCUUAAUGAUUUGAAAAGGGGAAGGGAUAGUAUGGCAACAAAAUUUGUUAGGACACUAGGCUAUAUAGGUGUACAAGAACCUGAUGUGACUGUAGAGAAUGUUAAGGAAACUUAUAUAAGCUACUUCCUUGAGCAGCUCCAACCUGUCAGAAAGUGUGAAAAUGUCUUCUGCUCACAUCUGAGAAAAAGAUGCACAGCUGAAUCAAGGAAUGGCUGCGAAAGAGGCCUAGAUUUGCAAAUGUACUCAGGCAUCUCCCACCACUGAUACUGUUAAACUGGACUGAAAGCCUGGAUCCCACAGAUCUGAACUUGCAACGUGGGAUGAAAGCAUAAUGAAGAUCAUAAAGAUCAUAGUGAAGAUCGUUAAGAUCAUAAUGAAGAGCAUAAAGAUCAGUGAAUUACUGUGAAGGCUGUUUAGUUAACUUAUGCUUUAGCACAGCUGCCUUUCUAAGACUAGAUGCUAUUUUACAUUAGCACCUGUUCCUGUACAACUACUCCAAAAGAAGAAGACUGGGUUAAAAAAAAUAAAUAGUUUUGCUGUUAAAAGGCA
Molecule: long non-coding RNA, 861 nt
Filed under: Anas platyrhynchos platyrhynchos (common mallard)
Lineage: Eukaryota; Metazoa; Chordata; Aves; Anseriformes; Anatidae
Description: lncRNA (ENSAPLG00000023665.1)
Source: RNAcentral